This 200-nucleotide ribosomal RNA is filed under the name uncultured organism. RNAcentral describes it as "partial small subunit ribosomal RNA". It matches the Rfam family "Bacterial small subunit ribosomal RNA", at positions 1182 to 1382 of the family's 1533-position model. The record is from RNAcentral.
ACGUCAAGUCCUCAUGGCCCUUACGGGCUGGGCUACACACGUGCUACAAUGGCGACUACAGUGGGAAGCGAAGGAGCGAUCCGGAGCCAAUCCAUAAAAGUCGUCUCAGUUCGGAUUGCAGUCUGCAACUCGGCUGCAUGAAGUCGGAAUCGCUAGUAAUCGCGGAUCAGCACGCCGCGGUGAAUACGUUCCCGGGCCUU